CAGAUCUUGAUAAUGAGCUGAUCAUUUGAAUCAGGUGUGUUGGAGCAGAGAAACAUCCAUAACAUGCAGGACAGUGGGCCUCAAGGACUGGACUUGAGAACCACUGCUCUAUAGACAAAUAUCUGCAUGAGGGUGAGUUAACAAGAUCAGACACUGACAUGGGAGUGAAAAAUCUGCUUGAUACUGAGUCACUAGAGCCUGUUAGCAUUUAGAUUUCCUGACUCCCCUGAAUCUGUCAGUACUAAUGAUAAUUUAGUGCUUACAUUUUACAUUUAGACAUUUAUACCAGCUUGUGAUUGAGUUGAAGCUCUGAGGGCGGAGACAGAAAUUCCUUUACAGCAGUUUUACCAGACUGACUCUCCUUAAAGUGUGAAAUAAAGUUUUCUUCUCGAUCCUGAAGGUGGGCCUGUGUUUGAUGGACAGAACUUUGUUUGCUUUAUAAAACUAUUAUUCACUCAACUCAUCAUCAUGGACGUUUAUAAGUGCCUGUCUGCCUCGGUUUGUGUCAUCACAGAGUGAAAGUCAUCAUCAGUCAUGAUAAUGAACAUUUCCCUCUCACGGUGGUCCUAAGAGAACUCUUUUUAUGUUUCUUUGGAGGUCUGGAUCUUUAUGACACCAUUCUGCACUGCUAGUUAACCCUGAAAUGACCACAGUAACUGCUGGACUGAAGCUUGGAUCCUGUAAAACUUUGAGUUUAACCCAUUACCAUACCUGCAGAGGUGAGUAGUUCACAUUCUUCAUACUGGGCUGGACACCGUUACGGUUUAUCCUGAAGUUGCCUCUGAACUCAGCAGCUCAUCAUGAUGCAAUGUGAGCCAACAUGUUUAAAACAAACCUUCACACAUCCAUCACACGCCUCUGAGGGCCCCUGAGCGCAGUGUUGGACUGGCCAUGUGAAGCUGUCAGGCCUGCCACAGUCUGAAGCGCCACAGGGAGCUUACACUGAUGAUCCACAUGACAAGUUCAAGACAACUUCAUACCGGUGAGCUCGUCUUUGUAAGUGUCUUCAAAGGCUGGUACUGUAACAUUCUGUACAAUGCAGGAUGUGAGAGUUUGAAGAUACAGUCAAACAAAGAAUAACAGCAUGAGGGCUUGUACUUUUUUUUUUUUUUUUUACAUCAUGAGACUUAGAUAAUAACUUCGAACUGUGAUGGUGCACAGCUGACGGCAACAUGAUUGUGCAGCUUGACUAAUGUGUAAUCAAUUAAGUCUUGCUCCCAAAAUUCUGACUCAAGGUAUGGAGAGAUGGCGCCAAGGCUACACAUUUUUAAAGUGGUUGUAUUUUUGCAAACUGAGAAGAACUAUUCCAUAUUUUAAGUGAUUUAAUGGGUCAGGUGUCAAAGGAAGACACAUCUGUGUGUCACCAGUAUAACAAUGAAAAGGAAUAUUCAUUGUGUCGCUGAGUUAUUUGGCUGAGAGGCAGCAUUUAAAUAGAAAAUAAAAUGGGACCUAAAACUGUGCCAUGGGGUACUCCACAUGGGAUGUAAGGAGCCCAGGAAAACUGGAGGGCUGGUCCCCUGGAGUGUGCUCACUCUUUGUGAGUAUAAAUUGCUCCCUGUCUCUCUCUCUCUCCUUGUCUCAAAAUCUAAAUCCAUGAAACAACAGCAGAUGAUAUCUUUAUUGCACGCGCUGUGCUGCUUGACAGUUUGUCUUACAGCAAUUCAUCACAAGCAAAGUUAUGUUGGAGUUUAUUUUCAACCAUUGUUGAGUUUUUACCAAUUAAAUGAUCAACAUUUUGAUUUUAGCCAUGAUAGACAUUAUCUUUGUAUAGAUGACAAAUAAACAGCCAGCAGACAUAGAAGUUCUGACUAUUGCUGCACAGAACUUUGUAAGUGUAGGAGCAGCUGCCUUUUGCACACAAUUUUAUCUUCAGUUGUUACCUUUAUUUGCAGGCUCAAUGUCAUUAAAAUAUACUUAAUGACACAAAAUUAUAAAGGUAAUGGUUACACUUGAGCUCAUAGGCACAACAUUUGACAUUAGGGUCCAAAUCGUUGUCCCCAUGAACUCCUCCCUCUGUUUCCACACAACGUGAACCUGGUGCCCCUUUAAUAUUUCCCUGCCCCUGCCCUCAGACAGUCUGAGUCUACUCCUGCUUCUGUCAACUUUACCAGAUUACUGCAGAUCUCACAUAGUCAUUUUGUCUCCAAGUAUAUUUUCUUUAUUAAUUUCUGGAUUACUGGAGAACAUGUGGGAGCUGUGGUUCUGUUAGUGUUCCACAGGGCUGGGCUCUGCUUGUGUCCAGAAGUGUCUGGGCGUGCAGCCGUGUGCUGUUUAAAGCCUGUUGGUCUUAUGAAAAUAUGUUGACCUGCGGCAGGAAGCGCCCUGUAAACUGCCAGUCUGGUACUGGCGUUGUUGCUGCCUGGCUGUGUUGUUUUACACAGAGCUGUCUGCAGACAGUGUGCCACAGCAAACACCAGCACCAGUCUCUUCCCAUACAGUAUCAGCAGCCAGGCCUGGUGUCAAUCCAGCACACUGCCUCUCUGUAUACAUGCAGCAUGUGUCAAAUAAACAAGUUUCCAAAAUGUUUUUACCUGCAUUUGAGACCUGAAGGAAUUCAUUGGCAGUGAGUGAAGAACAAUGGGCAAUGAUUAUUUUCUUUCCUGCAAAAAGGUGCAUUCAGGGCCUGUUGAGCUUUUUUGGGUGCAAAGUAAUCGCAUCAGAAAUGUACAUUUUUUUUUACAGUUUUAAUACAGAAUAUUGUGAUGUAAGGCUAAGUAUGACAGUUGGCUGUGAACCUUGAAAGCAGCAGAGGAAAAGGUUGACCUUGUUUUGUAGCUUUUAACCAUCAAACUUUCCCCAUUGACGUUUAUUUAUAAAAUAUAAUUGAAACCUCUAAAAAUGUGUCUGUUAUUUUUAGAGAGUUAACCGUUAUCUGGAGGAGUUCAACAAUGGAAGCAACCCACUGUUUCAACAGGUUCAAACAAGCUGUUCAAACAUUAAAAGGAUCUUUGCUUAUAGAGCCUUAAUUCUAGUUUCCAUUUAAAAUAUUCAGGCUGACUUAAUUUAGUGAUUUUAAAUACAAGAAUAUAUAAGAAUAAAAGUGUGUAAUUGCAGAGAAUGAAGACAUUGCUUUGACAGCAUGUGUUAGACAGAGUUUGUGUGUGUGAAGGUGGAGCAGAUGUCCUUUCUAAUACAGGAAUGACAGACUGCACAGUGUCCAACAAAGAAAGUUCAUGUUUUUGAUCCUUCAAGAAUAAAAGGGAGAAGUUUAGCAGAGGCAUGGUUUCACAAAGAAAGAUACUCCAAUGUUCGAACCAUUAAUACAAUGAACAAUGAGAAAAACUAUGUUCAGCAGAGAUCGACUCUGAGGCAUUUAUGUUAUUUACUCAAGAAGCUCUGGUCUGCUGGUAUCAGAGGAGCAAAACUGAGUUGAAUACGAGAAUGAAACAGCUCUUUCUUUGUCUCUUUAAAUUGUUGCUGUUUUCUGUUUCCUGCUUUCUUAAAAGUCCAUACAGGCCGGAUAUCCACAUGCAGCACAGGGCAACUGAAAUGAAUGAAACUAUGUUUGACAUAUCACAAUGAACCAUUAAGAACAGGUAAGCAAGUAGACUGCUUAGCACCUGCCCACAGCACCAAAACUACUCCCAAAUGGUUUGCUCACCCCAAACAUAAGGCCGUCUCAAUAACUCUUAGUAUUAUUACUUAAAAUAAUAUGAUCACUGAAUAAAAAAAAAACUCCAUCAAAUUAGUUAAAUGUAAAUGUUAGCAUUUUUUCAGAGAACCUGGUUUUAACAUCUACUUGUAUCUGUUAACAUUGCAGACCUGCCCUAUGUAAUAUGGCCGACGCACUGAUGUACUUCAGCAGAGGGAGAACAAGCUGAUGUAGCACCAAUGUUAAUAUGUUUGUGGCUCAUAUAAUGUAAAAAAGGUGGUAACUGUAAGUUGGAGCGUCACUGUUUUUUCUCUCUCUCUUUCUGUUUUUAACGCUUUAGACAAUGUUCCAAAUA
Non-coding RNA from Xyrichtys novacula (pearly razorfish), 3947 nucleotides. NCBI's taxonomy places the organism in Eukaryota, Metazoa, Chordata, Actinopteri, Labriformes, Labridae. The record is from the annotation of a GenBank genome assembly.